UUCUUUUCUAACUCCUUUGCUGCCU
Molecule: non-coding RNA, 25 nt
Filed under: Rattus norvegicus (Norway rat)
Lineage: Eukaryota; Metazoa; Chordata; Mammalia; Rodentia; Muridae
Source: RNAcentral